GUGCUCGCUUCGGCAGCACGUAUACUAAAAUUGGAACAAUACAGAGAUUAGCAUGGCUCCUGUGCAAAGAUGACCCGCAAAA
RNAcentral lists this small nuclear RNA (82 nucleotides) under Mus spicilegus (steppe mouse). Lineage: Eukaryota; Metazoa; Chordata; Mammalia; Rodentia; Muridae. The record is from RNAcentral.